CGGCGCACGCACACGGCGCACUGACCACGCCAGUUUCGCGGCUCCGCCAUGGCCACCUCCACCACCGCGCUCCACCCGCAAUUCCGGCCGCCGCUGCGCGCUCCCGGCCGUCUCCGCCCGCUUCCACACUCCUCGUAUUCCUCGUUCGCCCGCGCUCGCCCUCGCACUCCCGUCCGGGCCUCAGCGGCGUCCGCGUCCGCGCCGGUGCAGCAGGAGGCCGUCGCGGGGGUCCCGUGGGGCUGCGAGAUCGAGUCCCUGGAGAGCGCGGCGUCGCUGGAGCGAUGGCUCAUAGACUCGGGCCUCCCAGAGCAACGCCUGGCCAUCCAGCGCGUGGACGUCGGCGAGCGCGGCCUUGUCGCGCUCAAGAACAUCCGCAAGGGGGAGAAGCUGCUCUUCGUGCCGCCUUCCCUCGUCAUCACCGCCGAUUCGGAAUGGAGCCGCCCAGAGGUGGGGGAUGUGAUGAAGAAGAACGCAGUGCCGGACUGGCCGCUUAUCGCCACUUACCUCAUAAGUGAAGCCAGUUUAGAGGGCUCCUCGAAGUGGAGCAACUACAUAGCAGCGUUGCCAAGGCAGCCUUACUCCCUUUUGUACUGGACUCGUGCAGAGCUAGAUGCAUACCUGGUGGCUUCGCCAAUCAGGGAACGUGCAAUUCAGAGGAUAACCGAUGUGAUUGGGACAUACAACGACCUUCGAGACCGUAUAUUUUCUAAACAUUCAGAUUUAUUCCCUGAAGAGGUGUAUAACAUAGAGACAUUUCUAUGGUCCUUCGGCAUUCUCUUCUCGCGCCUGGUCCGUUUGCCAUCAAUGGAUGGAAGGGUUGCAUUAGUUCCUUGGGCAGAUAUGCUUAACCAUAGUCCUGAGGUGGAAACAUUCUUGGACUUCGAUAAGUCAUCACAAGGAAUAGUUUUCACCACUGACCGCUCAUAUCAACCAGGUGAGCAGGUUUUUAUAUCUUAUGGGAAGAAAUCCAGUGGUGAGCUGUUGCUUUCAUAUGGUUUUGUUCCAAAAGAGGGAACAAACCCAAAUGAUUCAGUUGAGUUGCUGGUGUCUCUUGACAAAUCUGAUAAGUGCUACAAAGAGAAACUACAAGCCCUAAAGCGAAAUGGUUUGUCAGCAUCUGAAAGUUUCCCAUUGCGGGUUACAGGAUGGCCAGUUGAGCUGAUGGCUUAUGCCUUCCUUGUGGUCAGUCCUCCUGACAUGAGUCAACGCUUUGAGGAGAUGGCUAUUGCUGCGUCGAAUAAAAAUUCAUCCAAACCUGGAUUCAAUUAUCCUGAAUUGGAAGAACAGGCUCUUCAGUUUAUCCUGGACUGCUGCGAAUCUAAUAUAGCAAAGUAUACGAAGUACCUAGAGGGUGGCAAUGGCUCUCCACAAGUUUCAAUAAAUGCUAAGCAAGCAAACAGGACAUUACUGUUAAAACAGCUAGCGAACAAGCUAUGCAUCAGUGAACGGAGAAUCUUGUAUCGUACACAAUAUAUAUUGCGUAGAAGAUUGAGGGACAUGAGAGGUGGCGAACUUAGAGCUCUGUCAUUGUUCAAUGGGCUAAGAAAGCUCUUCAAAUAAAUGGAUGGGCUACAUUUCUAGGUGGAAUGGAUCCUAUCGGAUAGUUUUGAUUUCUCUGAUAACAUGUUUCAGGUGCUUUGACCUUGCAUCAGGAGCUUCAUGUGUUUCUUACCAAAUCACAUUGCAGUCUCAGCCGAAAAUUUCUCAUCUGGAGACUGGAGCAGCGUCUGUAUGCUAGAAGGGAGCAGGUUCAACAAAGAGUUGUGAAUUGUAAUUGAACAGCCCAGAGCUUGUCAUAUACUAGUAUGUAAGGUAGCGUUUACGAGAGGAGCUAGCCAGUCAUAUUCUGCCCCUGGCCGGCUGGCCCCAGCUAUUUUAGUCCAUAUAUGAUGUUUAUGCGUUAUGCGUGUACAAACUGUAAAUCCAUGGUGAUAUGCAACUGCUGAAAAUAGUUGUGCCUGCCUACAAA
Setaria italica (foxtail millet) is the source of this 1969-nucleotide RNA transcript. It is a transcript of the gene named ribulose-1,5 bisphosphate carboxylase/oxygenase large subunit N-methyltransferase, chloroplastic, with no coding region annotated. Lineage: Eukaryota; Viridiplantae; Streptophyta; Magnoliopsida; Poales; Poaceae. The record is from RefSeq and is a predicted model, not a curated record. The transcript has 13 exons.